CCUACGGGUGGCAGCAGUGAGGAAUAUUGGUCAAUGGACGAGAGUCUGAACCAGUCAAGUAGCGUGAAGGAUGACUGCCCUAUGGGUUGUAAACUUCUUUUAUAUGGGAAUAAAACGUUCCACGUGUGGGAUUUUGUAUGUACCAUAUGAAUAAGGAUCGGCUAACUCCGUGCCAGCAGCCGCGGUAAUACGGAGGAUCCGAGCGUUAUCCGGAUUUAUUGGGUUUAAAGGGAGCGUAGGUGGAUUGUUAAGUCAGUUGUGAAAGUUUGCGGCUCAACCGUAAAAUUGCAGUUGAAACUGGCAGUCUUGAGUACAGUAGAGGUGGGCGGAAUUCGUGGUGUAGCGGUGAAAUGCUUAGAUAUCAUGAAGAACUCCGAUUGCGAAGGCAGUUCACUGGACUGCAACUGACACUGAGGCUCGAAAGUGUGGGUAUCAAACAGGAUUAGAUACCCCUGUAGUC
This 460-nucleotide ribosomal RNA is filed under the name uncultured bacterium. RNAcentral's name for it is "partial 16S ribosomal RNA". It matches the Rfam family "Bacterial small subunit ribosomal RNA", at positions 338 to 795 of the family's 1533-position model. The record is from RNAcentral.